Molecule: ribosomal RNA, 200 nt
Filed under: uncultured bacterium
Lineage: Bacteria
Description: partial 16S ribosomal RNA
Rfam family: Bacterial small subunit ribosomal RNA
Source: RNAcentral
AGAGUUUGAUCCUGGCUCAGAACGAACGUUAGCGGCGCGCUUAACACAUGCAAGUCGCACGAGAAAGGGCUUCGGCCCCGGUAAAGUGGCGCACGGGUGAGUAACACGUGGGUAACCUUCUAGAGCGGGGGAUAACAUUCCGAAAGGAGUGCUAAUACCGCAUAAGACCACGUCCUCGAAAGAGGAUGAGGUAAAAGCAG